AUUUCUCGAACCUCCAUCUGGAUUUAUCCAACCUCAACCUUCUUCAGAAACAUCAGGUCAAGCUAGAAAGAAUUGAGUUGCAUAAGAACUGAUGUGAUGUAUAAAAACUCAGCCACAGUGGAGCGAAGGUAUAAGUACUGACCUGGGAACAUAGGUGGAGGUUCUGUUGACGGAGUGCCCUGGACCAUCACUCUAUUUUAUUCCACAGAUUGGCCAGUUCCUGAAAGACCCAAGGUCAUGUGAAGGUGGAGGUACAUCAAUAGCAAUGUCAUUCCCUGCCUGCAGCAUCAAUACGCAGUGGCUGACAAAGUGACAGCGAUUUCUUAACCACUAUGGCCUACAUAACUACUGAUAUCAUUGAACCAUGAUUCGGACUGCAAUGAAGAUGGUGAAAAAGCAAAGCAUUACGUUUCAAAGUCUUGAGGGAGUUCCCACAUAUGAUGAGCACUUGGCUGCUUUUCUUCACGCUGCGG
Long non-coding RNA from Oncorhynchus tshawytscha (Chinook salmon), 473 nucleotides. Lineage: Eukaryota; Metazoa; Chordata; Actinopteri; Salmoniformes; Salmonidae. The record is from Ensembl.